Molecule: ribosomal RNA, 2816 nt
Filed under: Klebsiella pneumoniae
Lineage: Bacteria; Pseudomonadati; Pseudomonadota; Gammaproteobacteria; Enterobacterales; Enterobacteriaceae
Description: partial 23S ribosomal RNA
Rfam family: Bacterial large subunit ribosomal RNA
Source: RNAcentral
GGUUAAGCGACUAAGCGUACACGGUGGAUGCCCUGGCAGUCAGAGGCGAUGAAGGACGUGCUAAUCUGCGAAAAGCGUCGGUAAGGUGAUAUGAACCGUUAUAACCGGCGAUGUCCGAAUGGGGAAACCCAGUGCAAUUCGUUGCACUAUCGUUAACUGAAUACAUAGGUUAACGAGGCGAACCGGGGGAACUGAAACAUCUAAGUACCCCGAGGAAAAGAAAUCAACCGAGAUUCCCCCAGUAGCGGCGAGCGAACGGGGAGCAGCCCAGAGUCUGAAUCAGCUUGUGUGUUAGUGGAACGGUCUGGAAAGUCCGACGGUACAGGGUGAUAGUCCCGUACACCAAAAUGCACAGGCUGUGAACUCGAAGAGUAGGGCGGGACACGUGGUAUCCUGUCUGAAUAUGGGGGGACCAUCCUCCAAGGCUAAAUACUCCUGACUGACCGAUAGUGAACCAGUACCGUGAGGGAAAGGCGAAAAGAACCCCGGCGAGGGGAGUGAAAAAGAACCUGAAACCGUGUACGUACAAGCAGUGGGAGCACCUUCGGGUGUGACUGCGUACCUUUUGUAUAAUGGGUCAGCGACUUAUAUUCUGUAGCAAGGUUAACCGUAUAGGGGAGCCGCAGGGAAACCGAGUCUUAACUGGGCGUUAAGUUGCAGGGUAUAGACCCGAAACCCGGUGAUCUAGCCAUGGGCAGGUUGAAGGUUGGGUAACACUAACUGGAGGACCGAACCGACUAAUGUUGAAAAAUUAGCGGAUGACUUGUGGCUGGGGGUGAAAGGCCAAUCAAACCGGGAGAUAGCUGGUUCUCCCCGAAAGCUAUUUAGGUAGCGCCUCGUGAACUCAUCUUCGGGGGUAGAGCACUGUUUCGGCUAGGGGGUCAUCCCGACUUACCAACCCGAUGCAAACUACGAAUACCGAAGAAUGUUAUCACGGGAGACACACGGCGGGUGCUAACGUCCGUCGUGAAGAGGGAAACAACCCAGACCGCCAGCUAAGGUCCCAAAGUCAUGGUUAAGUGGGAAACGAUGUGGGAAGGCACAGACAGCCAGGAUGUUGGCUUAGAAGCAGCCAUCAUUUAAAGAAAGCGUAAUAGCUCACUGGUCGAGUCGGCCUGCGCGGAAGAUGUAACGGGGCUAAACCAUGCACCGAAGCUGCGGCAGCGACACUAUGUGUUGUUGGGUAGGGGAGCGUUCUGUAAGCCUGCGAAGGUGUGCUGUGAGGCAUGCUGGAGGUAUCAGAAGUGCGAAUGCUGACAUAAGUAACGAUAAAGCGGGUGAAAAGCCCGCUCGCCGGAAGACCAAGGGUUCCUGUCCAACGUUAAUCGGGGCAGGGUGAGUCGACCCCUAAGGCGAGGCCGAAAGGCGUAGUCGAUGGGAAACAGGUUAAUAUUCCUGUACUUGGUGUUACUGCGAAGGGGGGACGGAGAAGGCUAUGUUAGCCGGGCGACGGUUGUCCCGGUUUAAGCAUGUAGGCUGGUUAUCCAGGCAAAUCCGGAUAAUCAAGGCUGAGGUGUGAUGACGAGGCACUACGGUGCUGAAGUAACAAAUGCCCUGCUUCCAGGAAAAGCCUCUAAGCAUCAGGUAACAUCAAAUCGUACCCCAAACCGACACAGGUGGUCAGGUAGAGAAUACCAAGGCGCUUGAGAGAACUCGGGUGAAGGAACUAGGCAAAAUGGUGCCGUAACUUCGGGAGAAGGCACGCUGGUGUGUAGGUGAAGUCCCUGCGGAUGGAGCUGAGACCAGUCGAAGAUACCAGCUGGCUGCAACUGUUUAUUAAAAACACAGCACUGUGCAAACACGAAAGUGGACGUAUACGGUGUGACGCCUGCCCGGUGCCGGAAGGUUAAUUGAUGGGGUUAUCCGUAAGGAGAAGCUCUUGAUCGAAGCCCCGGUAAACGGCGGCCGUAACUAUAACGGUCCUAAGGUAGCGAAAUUCCUUGUCGGGUAAGUUCCGACCUGCACGAAUGGCGUAAUGAUGGCCAGGCUGUCUCCACCCGAGACUCAGUGAAAUUGAACUCGCUGUGAAGAUGCAGUGUACCCGCGGCAAGACGGAAAGACCCCGUGAACCUUUACUAUAGCUUGACACUGAACAUUGAGCCUUGAUGUGUAGGAUAGGUGGGAGGCUUUGAAGCGUGGACGCCAGUCUGCGUGGAGCCAACCUUGAAAUACCACCCUUUAAUGUUUGAUGUUCUAACGUUGGCCCCUGACCGGGGUUGCGGACAGUGUCUGGUGGGUAGUUUGACUGGGGCGGUCUCCUCCCAAAGCGUAACGGAGGAGCACGAAGGUUAGCUAAUCCUGGUCGGACAUCAGGAGGUUAGUGCAAUGGCAUAAGCUAGCUUGACUGCGAGCGUGACGGCGCGAGCAGGUGCGAAAGCAGGUCAUAGUGAUCCGGUGGUUCUGAAUGGAAGGGCCAUCGCUCAACGGAUAAAAGGUACUCCGGGGAUAACAGGCUGAUACCGCCCAAGAGUUCAUAUCGACGGCGGUGUUUGGCACCUCGAUGUCGGCUCAUCACAUCCUGGGGCUGAAGUAGGUCCCAAGGGUAUGGCUGUUCGCCAUUUAAAGUGGUACGCGAGCUGGGUUUAGAACGUCGUGAGACAGUUCGGUCCCUAUCUGCCGUGGGCGCUGGAGAAUUGAGGGGGGCUGCUCCUAGUACGAGAGGACCGGAGUGGACGCAUCACUGGUGUUCGGGUUGUCAUGCCAAUGGCACUGCCCGGUAGCUAAAUGCGGAAGAGAUAAGUGCUGAAAGCAUCUAAGCACGAAACUUGCCCCGAGAUGAGUUCUCCCUGAGACUUUAAGUCUCCUGAAGGAACGUU